AGAUGUGAGGGCGAUCUGGCUGCUACAUCUGUCACCCCAUUGAUCGCCAGGGUUGAUUCGGCUGAUCUGGCUGGCUAGGCUGGUGUCCCCUUCCUCCCUCACCACUCCAUGUGCGGCCUUGCCUGAAUAGAGACGGACUGAGUAGCUGCGCUCCCCUGCUAGAACCUCUAAACAAGCUCUCAAAAUGGCAGAUGGCAUUGCUCUCAGCUCCAGCUCUACUAUUAUGCAGUCAUGGGUGGACU
RNAcentral lists this small nuclear RNA (242 nucleotides) under Erinaceus europaeus (western European hedgehog). RNAcentral describes it as "7SK RNA". It matches the Rfam family "7SK RNA". From Rfam's summary of the family: 7SK was discovered as an abundant small nuclear RNA in the mid-70s but a possible function has only recently been suggested. Two independent studies have found that 7SK RNA binds the CDK9/cyclin T complex (known as elongation factor P-TEFb). Lineage: Eukaryota; Metazoa; Chordata; Mammalia; Eulipotyphla; Erinaceidae. The record is from Rfam by way of RNAcentral.